CUUAACCACACCCCCACGGGAAACAGCAGUGACAAAAAUUAAGCCAUAAACGAAAGUUUGACUAAGUUAUAUUAAUUAGGGUUGGUAAAUCUCGUGCCAGCCACCGCGGUCAUACGAUUAACCCAAGCUAACAGGAGUACGGCGUAAAACGUGUUAAAGCACCAUACCAAAUAGGGUUAAAUUCUAACUAAGCUGUAAAAAGCCAUGAUUAAAAUAAAAAUAAAUGACGAAAGUGACCCUACAAUACCGACGCACUAUAGCUAAGACCCAAAACUGGGAUUUAGAUACCCCACUAUGCUUAGCCCUAAACACAGAUAAUUACAUAAACAAAUUAUUUCGCCAGAGUACUACUAGCAACAGCUUAAAACUCAAAGGACUUGCGGUGCUUUAUAUCCUUUAGAGGAGCCUGUUCUAUAAUCGAUAAACCCCGAUAAACCUCACCAAUUCUUGCUAAUACAGUCUAUAUACCGCCAUCUU
RNAcentral lists this ribosomal RNA (477 nucleotides) under Bos taurus (domestic cattle). RNAcentral's name for it is "similar to 12S ribosomal RNA". It matches the Rfam family "Bacterial small subunit ribosomal RNA", at positions 326 to 1018 of the family's 1533-position model. Lineage: Eukaryota; Metazoa; Chordata; Mammalia; Artiodactyla; Bovidae. The record is from RNAcentral.